AUUCAUCACAGAUGCUGGGGUGCCCUGGAGGUUAGAGACUUUCAUUGCUAGAUGAUGGUGACGGACUAAGCUGUCCCUCAGGGAGCUUGGAUGGAUGGCUUCAUCAUCAGCACCAGCACGACAUGGCUAAAUGGGGGUAAAUGGGGAACCAGACCAGGAGUGAAGACAGGAAGAUUUCCAAGAGGAACCAUGAAUUGGGCUUCAUCGUUCCUUUUCUUCCUGAGCUGUUGGGGGCCUGCCCUCUGCUGAGACAGAGGCCCAAGACAAGAGGGACUAAGGACAGGGUGUGAUCUUAUUCCUCAGUCCUCUCCCUUUCCUCCCAUGCUUUCUUUUGUCCAGGAUCUGUGACCAUGGCUGCCCACUCCUCUUAUCCUUAACCCCAGGUGUUCACACUGUUGUCCUUACAACCUGGCCUCAUCAACAUUUUUAUCAACUUCUAUCACCAGACAUACCUGAGGGACAAGCAGGAGAUGCUGACUUAAAGAGCAGGACUGAGUGCCAAAACUGGAGGAACUGUCCCUAGACAGAAGACAACAUGGCUCCCAGCCCACCUGUGCUGAGCAGAUCCCUCUGCCACUAUAUUUAAUCCAAUGAGGGAAGGUGAAAAAUUGCCUCUUUUCCAGAGAGCAGACAAGAAAUGGUCCCAUCAUCCUGUACUCACUUCUGUUAGAGAACUUCUCAUCUGGACUUGUAAUUGUUUAUGCAUCUCCUUCCCCUACUUGACCUCAUGUCAGGAACUGUCUUAUUCCCAGUGUUCCCUAUACCUCACAUGGAGUCUCAAUAGAUGUGCCUUUGGGCCCUUGGAUGCUGUGACUGGCAGUCAUGACCUCUGGUGAAGAACAGGCCUGGAAGUGAAAGAAGUCAAGGCUGGUGGUUGGAAACUGUGACUGAGAAUAUCCAAGAGCCAUUGCGGUCUGUUCCAUCUCUGGUGUGGCUGUGUAAAUAAUUCCCUGUGCAUUUCUUCUGUUUACCUCUGCUUACAGGUGAAUUUACAUAAUUGUAUGAUGUGUGUGUGUGUGUGUGUGUGUGUGUGUGUGUGUGUGUGUGAGAGAGAGAGAGAGAGAGAGAGAGAGAGAGAGAGAGAGAGAGAGAGUGUGUAUGUAAAUGGUGUCAGGGAAAGGGCCAUAUGCAUAUA
RNAcentral lists this long non-coding RNA (1135 nucleotides) under Marmota monax (woodchuck). The record is from RNAcentral. Lineage: Eukaryota; Metazoa; Chordata; Mammalia; Rodentia; Sciuridae.